RNAcentral lists this ribosomal RNA (775 nucleotides) under uncultured Neocallimastigales. RNAcentral's name for it is "partial large subunit ribosomal RNA". It matches the Rfam family "Eukaryotic large subunit ribosomal RNA", at positions 24 to 645 of the family's 3401-position model. The record is from RNAcentral. Lineage: Eukaryota; Fungi; Neocallimastigomycota; Neocallimastigomycetes; Neocallimastigales.
UAUCUCUGUAGAGUCUGCAUAUCAAUAAGCGGAGGAAAAGAAACUAACUAGGAUUCCCUCAGUAACGGCGAGUGAAGCGGGAAGAGCUCAAAUUUGAAAUCUUCAAGGUUCUACCUUGACGAAUUGUAGUUUAAAGAAGUGUUUUCUGUUAGAUGAGUAGCAAAAGUUCCUUGGAAUGGGACAUCAUAGAGGGUGAGAAUCCCGUAUUUGGUUAUUCAUUCUAGCUUUGUGAUACACUUUCAAAGAGUCGGAUUGUUUGGGAAUGCAGUCCAAAAUGGGUGGUAAAUUUCAUCUAAAGCUAAAUACUUGGCGAGAGACCGAUAGCGAACAAGUACCGUGAGGGAAAGAUGAAAAGAACUUUGAAAAGAGAGUUAAACAGUACGUGAAAUUGUCAAAAGGGAAGCGUUUGACACCAGUGUUGUUUUCUCGAAAAUCAAUUACAAAUGGCUUGAUUUUGUGUUGUAUUGACCUUAUCAAGCUUUCUUCACUUUUUUCGAGUCUUUCUUAAUGCACUUUUGGUUAACAAGUCAACAUCAAUUUCUUUUGUUGUAAAAGAGUAUUCGGAAGGUGGCUUUCUUUUCGGAGAAAGUGUUUAUAGCCCUAUACUUCUACAAUCGGAGAGACUGAGGUCUGCAGCGUAGAUCCUUCGGGGUUAGAUACACUUGUGCUAAGUUGUAGCUUUUCAUAGACAACUUGUUGACUAUGUUUAGUCAUGCGGCUUACUCGCUUGUGCUAUUUUACCUACGCUUAGGAUGUUGACGAGACUGUCGAUCUC